RNAcentral lists this unclassified non-coding RNA (345 nucleotides) under soil metagenome. Its description in RNAcentral is "partial contains 5.8S ribosomal RNA, internal transcribed spacer 2, and large subunit ribosomal RNA". The stretch from base 1 to 120 matches the Rfam family "5.8S ribosomal RNA", at positions 35 to 154 of the family's 154-position model. The record is from RNAcentral.
GAUGAAGAACGUAGCGAAAUGCGAUACGUAAUGUGAAUUGCAGAAUUCAGUGAAUCAUCGAGUCUAUGAACGCACAUUGCGCCCCCUGGUAUUCCGGGGGGCAUGCCUGUCCGAGCGUCAUUGCUGCCCUCAAGCACGGCUUGUGUGUUGGGCCUCCGUCCUCCUCCCGGGGGACGGGCCCGAAAGGCAGCGGCGGCACCGCGUCCGGUCCUCGAGCGUAUGGGGCUUCGUCACCCGCUCUUGUAGGCCCGGCCGGCGCUUGCCGACACAUCAAUCUUUUUUCCAGGUUGACCUCGGAUCAGGUAGGGAUACCCGCUGAACUUAAGCAUAUCAAUAAGCGGAGGA